This is a long non-coding RNA of Haliotis rubra (blacklip abalone), 503 nucleotides long. RefSeq lists it as uncharacterized. The transcript is spliced from 2 exons. The record is from RefSeq and is a predicted model, not a curated record. Lineage: Eukaryota; Metazoa; Mollusca; Gastropoda; Lepetellida; Haliotidae.
AUGACCACAAAGGCGAGAAUUCAUGGAUGUCAACUUUUUAUUUUGAGGAACACAGCGUUUCGGACUAUAUUGUUACUUCUUUAUCGGUGGAAGGAAAAAAAAUGAAACAGAUAGCUAUAGAAGUACAUGUGAACCAACAUCAGUGAUAAUAUAACAACAAGGGAAGCUAAACUGGCAUGACAGAAUUCCAUUAUUGUGCGUAGUAACCCUGGAGGCCGGGUUUGGAUAAAGCUGGUUCCAGGACGCUUUGCGCGUCGUCAACUGGCGACAUGAGAGACGGGACCCAGCUUAGGAUUGGACAUACUUGUGACGUCAUCAGGCGCAUGCGUACUGGUACAUACGACAAUGAAAGUUCUGAGCAGUAUUCGUUUCAGCUACGCAUUUAGAAAAUACUUGAAAUUACGGAUUAUAAGUGGAUCAUUUAUCCGAAAGCACAUUAUUUUACCAGUGUGAAUACAUACAUUCCGAGUUCUCAGAAGCAGUCAAUAAAUAUUUGAAAAUCC